This 296-nucleotide long non-coding RNA is filed under the name Hordeum vulgare. RNAcentral's name for it is "long non-coding RNA (HVUL_LNC006123)". Lineage: Eukaryota; Viridiplantae; Streptophyta; Magnoliopsida; Poales; Poaceae. The record is from RNAcentral.
UAUGGUUUCCUUCUUCAAUUUAUUAGUCAUGGUGGGGUGUCAGAUUUGGAGUUCGAUCACGCGUGUGGGAUGUUGCCCCGGUCUAGUUCGUUCAACGACAAGGGCUUCACUUUUGGUGAGCCACCUUAAAGGUCCGUAAAGUUGCAUAUCAACGAUGGGACCGCGUCAAGCUCGGAUGAGGAGGUGAUUCAUCAUUCUUUUCUUCGGUGACUGCUGUGGUGGUGCCAGAAACAGGUGGCGGACAUUAGUGUCAAGUUUAGAUAUGUCCUGCUAUCUUUUUAGUUUUAUCAUGUCGG